UUCGGUGGUAACAGCCUCUCUUGAAACACGAAAUCGAGAAAUUGCCUACUACUGCGGUGAGUCUCGCUACCCGUGAUAACGUUGUUCUCCCGACCCCGCUGUCAUUUCGUAAACAACGGGGAUUGAAAGUUGCUUCUUCGACCAUAAACAGUAUCCUCCCCUGGAUGAUUCACGGGUUGCUUUUGAGUGUCUAAAUGCGCUCUUAAGUUGUCGCGGUUAACUCAAGCCGCAAGCCGCCCACCCGCCGUGGGUACGCGUGCUUUCCCGUGUAGGUUGGCAGGGGCGUUUCGAGGAAACCUCGAGGAAGAUUUCUGGUGCCCGUGAAAUAGCUGUGGGGUGGCGGUUCACCCAUCAAGAAGGAUUUACUCAUAUGGAUGUUUGGAUAUUUAUUCGCACUUUAUUCGUCUGUCACCGUUGCGCGCAGAAGAAGAUCUUCGAGGGGAACACACACUUCGACACGCCCGAGAUCCGACGCUGGCAUCGGCAUGAGGAUGGAGGUGCUGGGCUGUGACCUGUCAGAUCUUCGAGGGGAACACACACUUCGACACGCCCGAGAUCCGGUGCUUCAACGAGACGGUGGCCCAGUUCGUCCGCGUCU
Long non-coding RNA from Alosa alosa (allis shad), 598 nucleotides. RefSeq lists it as uncharacterized. NCBI's taxonomy places the organism in Eukaryota, Metazoa, Chordata, Actinopteri, Clupeiformes, Clupeidae. The record is from RefSeq and is a predicted model, not a curated record. The transcript has 3 exons.